This 328-nucleotide ribosomal RNA is filed under the name Escherichia coli 2-474-04_S4_C1. Its description in RNAcentral is "partial 16S ribosomal RNA". It matches the Rfam family "Bacterial large subunit ribosomal RNA", at positions 724 to 1049 of the family's 2925-position model. The record is from RNAcentral. Lineage: Bacteria; Pseudomonadati; Pseudomonadota; Gammaproteobacteria; Enterobacterales; Enterobacteriaceae.
GGUGAUCUAGCCAUGGGCAGGUUGAAGGUUGGGUAACACUAACUGGAGGACCGAACCGACUAAUGUUGAAAAAUUAGCGGAUGACUUGUGGCUGGGGGGGAAAGGCCAAUCAAACCGGGAGAUAGCUGGUUCUCCCCGAAAGCUAUUUAGGUAGCGCCUCGUGAAUUCAUCUCCGGGGGUAGAGCACUGUUUCGGCAAGGGGGUCAUCCCGACUUACCAACCCGAUGCAAACUGCGAAUACCGGAGAAUGUUAUCACGGGAGACACACGGCGGGUGCUAACGUCCGUCGUGAAGAGGGAAACAACCCAGACCGCCAGCUAAGGUCCCA